Non-coding RNA from Didymosphaeria variabile, 89 nucleotides. NCBI's taxonomy places the organism in Eukaryota, Fungi, Ascomycota, Dothideomycetes, Pleosporales, Didymosphaeriaceae. The record is from the annotation of a RefSeq genome assembly.
GGGCACGUGGUCCAGUGGCAGGGCGGGUCUCCCGGGAUUGUGGAAACGGACCGGGUGUCCAGACCCAGGUUCGAUUCCUGGCGUGCUCC